Balaenoptera ricei (Rice's whale) is the source of this 1298-nucleotide long non-coding RNA. RefSeq lists it as uncharacterized. Lineage: Eukaryota; Metazoa; Chordata; Mammalia; Artiodactyla; Balaenopteridae. The record is from RefSeq and is a predicted model, not a curated record. The transcript is spliced from 2 exons.
CCAACCCCCUGGAGAAACCCCCCCCAGGAAGUCCCUCCUUGUGUCUAACCCAGAUCUCCCCAACCACAGCUUCAAUGAUUCUCCAACAGCAAGGUCAGAGACUCCUUGGAGCUCCCUCAGUGCUCGUUCACAGCUCAGCGAGGGACACCGAGGCUCGGGAAGAGGUGGCGACUCGGCCAAGACCAAGGAACAGAGCCAGGCCUCCUGCAGACCCAGGGCGCCUGUCAUGGCAGCAGCUCCUUCCCUGGCCUUCCACAGAAAACACCAGACCCUGAGCCCAGCCAUUUCCAAGGCCUGUACCUCCUGCUGACUGCUCACACCCAAGCCACCCUCCUGAACUCAAAGGAACAGCACACCUGUGUGGCCCUGGCACUGAGAAAAAGAGCCUGCAAGCCAGAAGAACCAAGUUCAGGUCUCUCCCGCGGUUUGACCUCAGACAAGUGUCUGCACCUCUCUGGACUUCUGCUUUCCCAUUUGAACAAUGUAAAGAUCAAAUCGGAUGGUUUCUGAGAACAGGCAUGGAGGGAUUGAGCCCUCACUGUGGCCAGGCUCUGGGACCAGUGCUGGAGAUCUCGCAAAGGAUGCCGUGAAGGAGAGGCCAGAGGCAAGAUGGUAGAGAGGGUGCCUGUGCAGCCCCCCAGGGACAGGACCGCACCAAGAGGGGGCAUGGGGGAGGGGAAGACAAGAGAAAUGGUGGCAAGAGCCUGGUGACCGAUUGGCACUAGAGCUUCAGGGAAAAAGAGGUGUUCAGGAGGACAUCUAGGUUCCUGGCUUGAUGCUGGCGAUAAUACGCAGGGAAGGAACGAGGGAUGGGGAGCAGGAUGGGGUAGGUGGCAUUCAAAUUUGGACUCACUGUGUUUGGUCUAUCUCAGUGUCAGGCUCUGCGUGCAGCUAGAUACACAGAGAGGGGUCCGGGCCAGCCCGUGCCCCAGCCCUGGGAAAGGCCAUAGCAUAGGGUCACUUUUCCCUGUCCCUUUACUCCAAAGCCUAUAGCCUCCAUAUCUAGGGAGUUUUCCUAAUCCUCAGAAUGGUGAAUGUCCAUUCAUUGCUCAAGGCCCGGCUCUGUGUCCCCAGGGAAGCAUCCUCUGACACACCUCUUCCUCUUUCUGUCCUCUAAGGAAACUCCUAUGCCACCCCUGGUCACAGCAGGCAGCAUGCUGGAUUGUGUGGUCCCUCUCUCUCCCUUAUUAGGCUGCGAGCAUCUUGGUCAUUCACAUAUCCCCAGGGCAGAGCGCAAGAUCUGGCAUAUAGAAGGCACCCAGCAAAUGUUGGUUCAUUGAAUAAAGAAAUGAAUGAGU